CAUGGGGACUUGGCAGGAGCAGAGCUGGGAGAAUAAACUCCCAACCUCUUUCUCUUCUCUCCUUGGAUCUUCUGCUGCCUUUUAUUGGUCAAACCCGACAGGACGCCGAAGGACAGCAGAGUUGGUUGAUGGAGACCAUCUGGUCAGCCUCCUGGCGUGCGUGGCAGGGCUGAGAAGGUGGCAAGUGAAUAUGGGGCUGGGACUGGAAGACAUCCACGGCAGAUGACUGUAAGGAACAGAAAGAUAAAGAGAUUGCGACUUACCUGAGGUCACACACCGGUGAGACUAAAACUAUGCCUGUGAUGACACCACUGAAGCAUCUACGGCACGGAUGCCCACUCUUCUGUCAGAGUCCACAUGUCAGCCAGUACCAAGGUGACAGGAGAUUUCUCUCUAUUUAGACACUCAGUACCUUGUGAACUGUUAAUAAUAUCAUUUUCUUUCUCUUUAUUUCUUUUUUUUUUUUUUGAGAUGGAGUCUUGCUGUGUCACCCAGAUUACAGUGGUGUGAUCUUGGCCCACUGCAACCUCUGCCUCCUGGGUUCAAGCAAUUCUCCUGCCUCAGCCUCCCGAGUAGCUGUGAUUACAAUCACAAUUAGCCUGGCUAAUUUUUGUAUUUCUUGGUGGAGAUGGGGUUUCACCACAUUGGCCAGGCUGGUCUUGAACUCCUGACCUCAGGUGAUCUGCCUACCUUUGCCUCCCAAAGUGCUGGGAUUGUAGAUGCGAGCAGUGCUGGGAUUAUAGAUGGGAGCAGUGUUGGGAUUACAGAUGCGAGCUACUGUGCCCGGCCAAUAAUAUUAUUUUCAUACACAACUCUUUUUCCUGUGGGACUUUAAGACAUCU
Macaca mulatta (Rhesus monkey) is the source of this 842-nucleotide non-coding RNA. The record is from RefSeq and is a predicted model, not a curated record. NCBI's taxonomy places the organism in Eukaryota, Metazoa, Chordata, Mammalia, Primates, Cercopithecidae.